GACGAACGCUGGCGGCGUGCCUAAUACAUGCAAGUCGACCUUAGUGGCGAACGGGUGAGUAACACGUGGGUAACCUACCCAUCAGAAGGGGAUACCACUUGGAAACCGGUGCUAAUACCGUAUACUGAUGGAUGUACCCGCGGUGCAUUAGCUAGUUGGUGAGGUAACGGCGCACCAAGGCCACGAUGCAUAGCCGACCGGAGAGUGUGAUCGGCCACAUUGGGACUGAGACACGGCCCCAACGCCGACGGGAGGCAUCAGUAGGGAAUCUUCGGCAAUGGACGAAAGUCUGACCGAGCAACGCCGCGUGAGUGAAGAAGGUUUUCGGAUCGGAAAACUCUGUUGUUAGAGAAGCGGUAUCUAACCAGAAAGCCACGGCUAACUACGGGCCAGCCGCCGCGGUAAUAC
This 408-nucleotide ribosomal RNA is filed under the name uncultured bacterium. Its description in RNAcentral is "partial 16S ribosomal RNA". It matches the Rfam family "Bacterial small subunit ribosomal RNA", at positions 28 to 526 of the family's 1533-position model. The record is from RNAcentral.